This 417-nucleotide ribosomal RNA is filed under the name uncultured bacterium. RNAcentral describes it as "bacterial SSU rRNA". It matches the Rfam family "Bacterial small subunit ribosomal RNA", at positions 355 to 787 of the family's 1533-position model. The record is from RNAcentral.
UGGGGAAUAUUGGGCAAUGGGCGCAAGCCUGACCCAGCAACGCCGCGUGAAGGAAGAAGGCUUUCGGGUUGUAAACUUCUUUUCUGGGGGACGAACAAAUGACGGUACCCCAGGAAUAAGCCACGGCUAACUACGUGCCAGCAGCCGCGGUAAUACGUAGGUGGCAAGCGUUAUCCGGAUUUAUUGGGUGUAAAGGGCGUGUAGGCGGGAGUGCAAGUCAGAUGUGAAAACUAUGGGCUCAACCCAUAGCCUGCAUUUGAAACUGUACUUCUUGAGUGCUGGAGAGGCAAUCGGAAUUCCGUGUGUAGCGGUGAAAUGCGUAGAUAUACGGAGGAACACCAGUGGCGAAGGCGGAUUGCUGGACAGUAACUGACGCUGAGGCGCGAAAGCGUGGGGAGCAAACAGGAUUAGAUACCC